RNAcentral lists this long non-coding RNA (1208 nucleotides) under Amborella trichopoda. RNAcentral's name for it is "long non-coding RNA (ATRI_LNC002856)". Lineage: Eukaryota; Viridiplantae; Streptophyta; Magnoliopsida; Amborellales; Amborellaceae. The record is from RNAcentral.
ACUAAAGAACAACCAAGUAAAGCACCGAAGGCAUACUCCUUUCUUCUCCACAAAUGGUUGAAUUAUUGCUUGCUUUUUUCUUUCUCCUUGCAUUUUUUUUUUCUGGGUUAAACGUCGAAGUUAUCAGUGGGCAACAUCUUCUAGCACGAGAUUUUACAUAGCAACUGAGGAGAACUCACUUCAUGUAUUGUGAUGAAUUACAUAGUUUUAUUUUUACGUAGGAGUUUAGUCAUGAUUUUGUGGAGUAGUUUGUUUGUGAUUAUUAACAUCGUUGAUCAUGGAAAUUCAGAUUCUAAAAGAGAUUUGCUUCAAGUUAAAUGCUCAUGAAGUGCAGAUGAGCAUCACUAUGAAGUGCAAGAGUUACCUAGAUGUUUAGCUUUUGUGCUCAUUUUAUUCGGGUUUGUGUUUUCUUAUUCCUCCAAAGAUGUGGUUGAAUGGUUACUAUCUGUUCCCAUCUGUGCUUACUCAGUGUUGGGUUAGAAAAAAUCUUUUGGCAAUAAAAAUAGUAGAGGACUGGCAUAAUGUUCUUGAAUGAUAGAAAUUCUGCUUAAGCUUAAAAGGGAAACGUUAUCACAGAAGUUUGAUUAAUUCAUAGUGUGAAGUCAUUGAAUCUAUGACUUUGUGAUGGUUAUGGUUGCUCACAGUUGGUGCAACAGUUUUAUCGUAUUCUCCAUUAUUCUCCAUCGAUCUAUUGUUGUUUCAUUUCUCUGAUGCACUUGAGGUUAAAAUUUUCAGUUUGGUAGCCAUUAUGUUUCUUUCCACUUUGUGGUUCACAUGGAAAGUUGCAACAUACAAGUGGGAAAAGAGAAGAGUGAGAAGAAAAGGAAUGGAAAUCUUCUUUUAUCCUAUUUUUAUUUUGCCAGUAUUCUUUUUGGUAUGUAUUGUAUUGUCUUUUCCUCCUCUCCAUUUUGAUUGGUUGAGAAACAACUUGAAUGUUAAUACGGACGUGUUUUAAUUCUAUGUAAUGGAAGUCUAUCGAGUGUACUUACUUUCUCUUAUUUAUUAUUAAAAUGCAAUAUCAUGUGAAGCACUAUUGAUUUCUUUUUCCUUUUAAUUUCUCACUAAGGGAUCUCUAUUUUAAGGGAUUGUAUAUUACGAGAUCAGUUAGUUUGAUAUAAGGAGGUCAUGAUCACUUUUAACCAUUAGAUGUGAAAUCUAAAAGAUGAAAGUGCGUCACAACAUUCGAGAAAUGUUGUUUUGGCUUUUGU